RNAcentral lists this ribosomal RNA (498 nucleotides) under uncultured bacterium. RNAcentral's name for it is "partial 16S ribosomal RNA". It matches the Rfam family "Bacterial small subunit ribosomal RNA", at positions 30 to 523 of the family's 1533-position model. The record is from RNAcentral.
AUUGAACGCUGGCGGCAUGCCUUACACAUGCAAGUCGAACGGUAACAGGUCUUCGGAUGCUGACGAGUGGCGAACGGGUGAGUAAUACAUCGGAACGUGCCUAGUAGUGGGGGAUAACUACUCGAAAGAGUGGCUAAUACCGCAUGAGAUCUACGGAUGAAAGCAGGGGAUCGCAAGACCUUGUGCUACUAGAGCGGCCGAUGGCAGAUUAGGUAGUUGGUGGGAUAAAAGCUUACCAAGCCGACGAUCUGUAGCUGGUCUGAGAGGACGAUCAGCCACACGGGGAAUGAGACACGGCCCAUACUCCUACGGGAGGGAGCAGUGGGGAAUUUUGGACAAUGGGCGAAAGCCUGAUCCAGCAAUGCCGCGUGCAGGAUGAAGGCCUUCGGGUUGUAAACUGCUUUUGUACGGAACGAAAAGCCCCGGGUUAAUACCCUGGGGUCAUGACGGUACCGUAAGAAUAAGCACCGGCUAACUACGUGCCAGCCGCCGCCGUAA